This 98-nucleotide microRNA precursor is filed under the name Equus caballus (horse). RNAcentral describes it as "mir-544 microRNA precursor family". It matches the Rfam family "mir-544 microRNA precursor family". The record is from Rfam by way of RNAcentral. Lineage: Eukaryota; Metazoa; Chordata; Mammalia; Perissodactyla; Equidae.
AUUAUUUGGGAAUCUUGUGAAAAUGUAGAUUCUGAUUCAGCAAGUCUCAUGUGGGGCCUGACAUUCUGCAUUUAUAACAAGCUCCCAGGUGAUGCCAA